CACCCGGGUCCUGCGCAAUGGAACCCCGCGAACCAUGUCAGGUCCGGAAGGAAGCAGCAUUAAGCGGGUCAUUCCAUGUGCCGCAGGGCAGCCUGGGUCGAGC
RNAcentral lists this signal recognition particle RNA (103 nucleotides) under Heyndrickxia coagulans. Its description in RNAcentral is "Bacillus coagulans Bacterial signal recognition particle RNA". It matches the Rfam family "Bacterial small signal recognition particle RNA". Rfam says of the family: The signal recognition particle (SRP) is a universally conserved ribonucleoprotein involved in the co-translational targeting of proteins to membranes. Archaeal SRP consists of a 7S RNA and homologues of the eukaryotic SRP19 and SRP54 proteins. Lineage: Bacteria; Bacillati; Bacillota; Bacilli; Caryophanales; Bacillaceae. The record is from RNAcentral.